This 208-nucleotide ribosomal RNA is filed under the name uncultured Pseudomonadota bacterium. RNAcentral's name for it is "uncultured proteobacterium partial 16S ribosomal RNA". It matches the Rfam family "Bacterial small subunit ribosomal RNA", at positions 568 to 775 of the family's 1533-position model. The record is from RNAcentral. Lineage: Bacteria; Pseudomonadati; Pseudomonadota.
CGUGUAGGCGGCCUGAUAUGUCAGAUGUGAAAGCCCUGGGUUUAACCCAGGAAGUGCAUUUGAAACUGUCAGGCUCGAGUAGGGGAGAGGGAAGUGGAAUUCCUGGUGUAGAGGUGAAAUUCGUAGAUAUCAGGAGGAACACCGGUGGCGAAGGCGACUUCCUGGCCCUAUACUGACGCUGAGACGCGAGAGCGUGGGUAGCAAACAG